Molecule: ribosomal RNA, 518 nt
Filed under: uncultured marine eukaryote
Lineage: Eukaryota
Description: bacterial SSU rRNA
Rfam family: Eukaryotic small subunit ribosomal RNA
Source: RNAcentral
AGUCAUAUGCUUGUCUCAAAGACUAAGCCAUGCAUGUCUAAGUUUAAAUGCUAAACAAUGAAACUGCGAACGGCUCAUUAAAACAGUUAUAGUUUAUUUGGUAAUCGAAUUUACAUGGAUAACCGUGGUAAUUCUAGAGCUAAUACAUGCAGGUGAGCCCUACUUUGCGGUGCGGGCUGUAUUUAUUAGAUAACAAACCAAUAUUCCUCGUGUCUAUUGUGGUGACUCAUAAUAACUGAUCGAAUCGCAAGGCCCUUGGCCGCGAUAAGUCAUUCAAGUUUCUGCCCCAUCAGCUUUCGAUGGUAGUGUAUUGGACUACCAUGGCGUUUACGGGUAACGGAGGAUUAGGGUUCGAUUCCGGAGAGGGAGCCUGAGAAACGGCUACCACAUCUAAGGAAGGCAGCAGGCGCGUAAAUUACCCAAUCCUGACUCAGGGAGGUAGUGACAAGAAAUAGCGGGUCGGAGUUUAACUCCGGGACUGAAAUGAGACGAAUUUACACCCCUUAUCGAGGACCGAU